Molecule: ribosomal RNA, 526 nt
Filed under: Plaxiphora aurata
Lineage: Eukaryota; Metazoa; Mollusca; Polyplacophora; Chitonida; Mopaliidae
Description: partial large subunit ribosomal RNA
Rfam family: Bacterial large subunit ribosomal RNA
Source: RNAcentral
UUUUUAAAAACAUCGCUCUUUGUGGGUUAAAAAUAAGGAGUCGUGCCUGCCCAGUGAAUUUUAAACGGCCGCAGUACCCUGACUGUGCUAAGGUAGCAUAAUCAUUUGCCUUUUAAUUGGAGGCUAGAAUGAAUGGCUUGACGAGAAUAAAGCUGUCUCUUUUAUAUUAUAUAGAAAUUAAUUUUUAGGUGAAGAAGCCUAUAUUAUUUUAAAAGACGAAAAGACCCUAUCGAACUUUAAAUUAUAUUAGUGUUAAAUUUUUAGUAGAAUUAGUUUCUGAUCUUGUUUUUAAUUGGGGCGAUGGAAGAACAAAAAAGCUUCUUUUUUUUUGUAAAAUUUUUGAAUUUUAAAAAUCCGUGGUUAAUGAAAAAAGAAAAGUUACCGUAGGGAUAACAGCGUAAUUUUUCUGGAGAGUUCAAAUUGAAGGAAGAGAUUGCGACCUCGAUGUUGGAUUAGAAUAUCUAUUUGGUGUAGCAGCUAAAAAUAGAAGGUCUGUUCGACCUUUAAAUUUCUACAUGAUCUGAGU